Molecule: long non-coding RNA, 9888 nt
Filed under: Capsicum annuum
Lineage: Eukaryota; Viridiplantae; Streptophyta; Magnoliopsida; Solanales; Solanaceae
Description: long non-coding RNA (CANN_LNC022006)
Source: RNAcentral
GAUGGUCUAAUUCCGGUAAGGGAAUACCGAUUUCGGCGAGAAACUCGCCGAAAAAACCAAACCAGUCGUCCUUUUUCUCAUGUAUUCCCUCUCUUCGAUCGAUUCUCUCCCUUUCUCAAUUUGGAUUGUCUUCUCUCCGAUCUCACGCUCAGAUUUGUCUCUCACUGUGGUUGUGUGUAUGUAUAAUGGUUUUGUGUGAAGGCAGGUGUAUUAAUGGAAUAAACUCAUCAGUGAUGGUGUCUAUAUAUUCCUCUUUCCCGUAUUCUAUAUGUGUAUAUGUUGAAUUGAGAUCUUUUUCUUUAUGGUUACCGUGAUGUUCGUCCAUGGCGUGUAGGUGUGUUCGUGGUAUAUGGGUCUUCUCUAAAAAUGGAAAAAAAUGGUCAGAAUGUUACUGUGUGGACAUCUCUGUAUUGUUAUCUAUUGUAUUCUUAUGUAUUCGCCUCCCAGUUUCUGUGUGAAGUGCGUGUGUAUAUUGUGAAUUACAGUGAGUGAGAAUUGUGUGGUAGUGGAGUAGGGUAGGUGGGCUAGUGAGGUGCGGGUAGGGGUAGGAUGUGAUGUGGUUUAUUUUGAUUGGAUGGGUUGUUAGGAUAAGAUAAAAUUAGCUAGGGAUUGUUAUUUUUGUCAUUUUGUGGAGAUUAUCACACGGGGUAGGGUACGCGGUAGGAUAAGGUAAAAAUGUGUAAAAAUGAUAUAGGGAAGGGACAAAAUUAGGUGUCUACAUCAUGCCCCCUUUGAAUGUAAACACAAAGUAUUUUUGAACAAAGAAGUAGACAACAAGACAGAAUUUUGUCCCGAUCAUUAUUCGAAGGAAAAAUAGAAGAAAGAAGAGCAAUCGAGUAUUGACUUAGGACACCCUACCUACCCAAGUUAUGAGGGAAUCAAGUGACAGGAUUCUCAAAGGAUUGAAAGGAGAUGGACUUUACCGAGUUGAAGAGUCGAGUGAGGUCCCGAUGAGGUUCCAGUCCGCGCAUCUGUUAUUACAUCAUAAAUAAAAGUUACAAGUUAAAACAUAAAUAAAAUUACAAAAUCAUAUCUAUGCAGUUAGUUUCUUUUGGACUCUUAACUUGAGUUUCAUCACUCUAUUCUUCAGGCGGGCUCCUGACUUGCAAUUUCAUCACUUGUUGCUUGGUUUUCAAUCUCUUCACCCUGUUCUUCAGGCGGGUUCCUAACUUGCUAUUUUUUCAAUCUGUUGACUUUAAAUUUCUUCACCUUGUUGCUUGACUUUCAACUUCUUCACCUUGUUACUUGACUUUCAACUUUUUCACCAUGUUGCUUGACUUUUCAUUUAUUCACCCUGCUCUUCAGGCGGGCUCCUGAAAUCACAUCAAUACUAAAAAGAAAAAUUAUCCCAAACAAAGAUUAUUAUAAAGAGAUUUCAUUUGUCAGGAAAGCGAAGUUCCAAACACAGGAUUUAAAUUUUCCCCAGUUUCUCAUCAAAGGACUUUUGGGAAAGUCACAUCAUUAUAGGAAUCAAAGGGAAUGACUAGACUAAAAGGAACAUCUUAUAAGAAUCAAAGGGAAUGACUCAACUAAAAGGUACGUCUUCUAGGAAUCAAGGGAUAUGACUCGACUAAAAGGUACUUCUUAUAGGAAUCAAGGGGCAAGGGGAAUGACUUGACUAAGUCUAAUGACUCGACUAGGGAAUGACUAGACUAAAAGGAACAUCUUAUAAGAAUCAAAGGGAAUGACUCAACUAAAAUGUACGUCUUAUAGGAAUCAAGGGGAAUGACUUGACUAAAAGGUACGUCUUUUAGGAAUCAAAUGACUCGACUAAAGGCACAUCAUCUAGGAAUCAAGGGGAAUGACUAGACUAAAAGGUACGUCUUCUAGGAAUCAAAGGUAAUGACUCGACUAAAAGGUACGUCAUCUAGGAAUCAAGGGGAAUGACUCGACUAAAAGGUACGUUUUCUAGGGGUCAAGGGGAACGAUUCAACUAAAAGGUACGUCUUCUAGGGGUCAAAGGGAAUGACUCGACUAAAAGGUACAUUUUAUAGGAAUCAAGGGGAAUGACUCGACUAAAAGGUACGUCUUCUAGGGGUCAAGAGGAAUGACUCGACUAAAAGGUACGUCUUCUAGGAAUCAAAUUAAAUAACUCGACUAAAAGGUACGCCUUAUAGGAAUCAAGGAGAAUGACUCGACUAAAAGGUACGUCUUCUAGGGGUCAAGGGAAAAGACUCGACUAAAAGAUAUGUCUUAUAGGAAUUAAAGAAGAUGACUCGAAUAAAAGGUACGUCUCAUAGGAGUGAAGGUUCAAUUUAAGAAGUGUAUCACCUAGCAAAUGAAAACUAAAAUCCCUGGACAAGAAAGUGUCUCCGAGGGAUAUAGGAUGAUGAUUUUUUACAAUGACUUGAUUAUUAAACCUGUCCAACAACAUUGUUUCCUGCAUUUGUAGGAGUGAGGCAUUGCAGACCUUGAUAUUUAUGUUCCGAAUUCCUUGAUUUAAAGGUAAUAUGUUUCCUAUUUCAUCAAAAAAAACUUGUGAGUUAAAAAAUAUGGUGGCUGGCUUGUGGCUUUAGCUUUUGCGACAAUCGCUCUUGCCCCAGUCACAUUUAACCUUGCUUCCAACCAUUAGCAUAUGUCAUUGACUUGUUGAAUCAGUGAUCCAAACUCAUAUUAGGAAGAGUGACUCUGCCACAAACACAGUAUCUCUGCUUUGCCAUGUUUCUCAGUUAAACCCUUUGAACUAUGGUAUUUCCGUGGGUUCCCAGACUUGUCUAUUGACAAAACUUUCUAUAUGUCCUUUUUUCAGCUCACAAUUAUAUCUCUUUCAUGCGCUGGCCUUUUUGUCUUGCUUUGUACAAUUGAAGAAGUUGGUAGCCAAUUUUAAAAUCUUUUCUCACUUGUUUCGACAUGGACUAGACUCAAAGACAAGAGCGAAAAUGACCAUGAUUUUUUAUUUGGAUAACUGACUCAAGAAAAAUAAAAUAAAAAUAAAACAAAGAGAAGAAAGAAAAGACAAUGAAUGUACCCAUUAAAAAAAAUAAUGAAAAAUGUAUCUAAAAAUGACAGUUAACUCUAUUGAUUAUGCCAUGCAUUUUGGAUUAAGUUGCCUGAUCUUUCAUCUAAACCUUCUACUAAUUGUUGUUGAGUUAAUGACCUUGAAACUGAAUUGCUUCCUUGGGCCAAUUUGCAUUCAAAAAUCUCAUUUGGCUAGUGGCACCUUGAAGGGUUUUCGCCAACAAGCCUCUCUCAUCUUCUUUUCCUCAACUCACCAUAGUCUUAUGGUGUCUGUAAGAGUUUUCACCAACGAGACUCUCUUAUCUUCGUUUCUCUCAACUCAUAGUCGUCUUACGAUGCCCAUGAGAGUUUUCACCGAUAAGAAUCUCUCAUUUUUAUUGCUCUCUUGAUUUCUUAUGCCGAGGAAGACAAGUGGUUCCCAAAUGCAUCAUCAUAUCCCUUGCAUGCUUAGCCUUAACAUCCUCAAAGAUUGAUCCGAAGGUCUUUCUUUGGUUGUAACUUGGCUUUUGGAUAGGGUUAGAAAGAAGGGAUGGCAUGGGGCCCAAACGGCACUUAAAGUGGGGUAGGACUUACAAUUUUUAGAAACGACUCAAAUAAUGAGGAUUAACUUAUGCCCCAGUUUUUUACUAGGCAAUUCUAAAUUAUUUAUUUGGUUGGACCAAGCCCUAAGUAGGGCAUCCUACGUAUCUCACCCCCGAGAGAAAAGAAUCGGGUCAUGCGUAGUUCUGGCAACUUGUUUUGCUUGAUUCUGAUUUCAUUUUUCUUUUGACUUCUUUUUUUUUCUUUGUAAUUUUUCUGACUCUAAUUUACUUACUUUUUUUCUUCCUUCUUGGACACAUUUUCCUCUUUUUUUGAAAAAACUUUCUGACUCUACUCUCUUGCUCUAUACUUUUCUUUUGAACUUUAUUGGUUUUAUCUUGAUUCCAAAAAAGGGGUAUGAAAGAAAAUAACACUAAGGCUUAAAUGGGGUAGACAAAGGAUGACACAAUGUUUGAAUAACAGAAUAAAAUGUCUUUGUCAUAUCAAUCCUUGAAAAUGCACGUACAUAUCAUGCAAUAUAAAAGUGAAAGAUGAAGAUCAUUUGACACCUUAAAACCACUAUCUUUAAUUGAACAUGUGUGCUACUUCUUCCUCUACACUUGUCAAACAUAUAACUCCACCUUUGUUGUAUAUCCCUUACAUUGAAUGACUCAUACUUUCGUCGAGUUGAUUUUCUUUAUAUUCCUCUUGAUAGGAUCACGCAGACACUGUUUGACCUAAUCGAGACAUGUCUUUUAAUUGAUGACCAAGUUAUUCUUGUGAUUCUCAAAAUAAUUGCCUUAAUUUUUAGAAAAGGCUUCAACUUGUCACCAAAUAUCUCAGUACUCUACUAUUUUCUUAGAUGUUUCUCCUAACUUUAGCCCUCUGAUUCAAUGUUCAUGCUUAAACUGCAUUUUAAGAUCUGACUGAAAAUUCCGCAGGCAUGUCAUAUUACUAGAAUCAACAUAAAAUAUGUUGUAUAAAGAAAACAAACAAACAACACAUUUGAAACAUAAAAGGAAAGGGACACUUCAUUUAGUUGAAAUAAAAGAUAAAAGGGUUUGAACAUAAACGACGAAGGGACAAACAAGAUAGAUCUCGAACUACAACCCUGAAAUACUUCAAAAAAUAGAAAAGAAAACAAAACAAACUACCAGACCUCUUCCUAGUGGGGAGAUGGGUGACUUCUCAUUUGCUCAGCCUGACAACUUAGCCACUGGUUUGCAUAUCAACAUGACCAGAGCUUCCCUCACUGUCAAUGUUCUGCACCAUAAUCGAUCCAUCUUGAAUCAUCUUUUCAAUUUCCCUUUUCAAAUCUCAACAAUCUUUAAUACUAUGACCCUGAGCAUCAGAAUUAUACGCACAUCAUACAUUAGGGUCAAAAUUUCUUGAACAUCGAUUAAGAGUGCACUUAAGGAGAGGAGUGAUCAUGCUCCAUUGUACCAAUUUCUGAAACAAACUAGCAUACGACUCUCUAAUUGGUGUGAAGUUAUCUCUCGACUUCUGCCUCAUUUCAUCAUUUGGCUUGGAUAAAAAAUCAGGCUUAGAAGGGUUUUGGUAUAUUUGUGAAGUUAGAGGAUGACUCUGAAUUGUUGGUGUUUUCCACUGUGGGUAAGAUGGGGGUUGAUUAUGUGGUUGUGCAUUAUAUACUGAAUAUGGAGGUGGAGGAGCAGAGUAUAAUGGAUUUUAGGAGUGAUUAUGUGGAGCUUGGGCAUGACCUUGGGUUUGAGCCUGAGAGUGGCGACAACGGGGUCUUCUUGACCGUGCCCGCUGUCCAACUACAAUAGAGGAUGCAACUUCCUCAUUCUUUGUCUCCACAAUACUUCCUGAACCCUUUUGAAUUGCUUGAGUUGUCACUUUCAAUGUUGCAAAACUCACAAUGUGACCAGUCUUAAUUCCCUCUUCUAUCAUCUCCCCCAUUUUAAGGACCUCAAUAAAUGACUUGCCUAAUGCAGGUAACAAGUUUUGAUAAUAUAUUUCAUCCUGUGCUUGAAUAAACACCUUUGCUAUUUUGCUUUCUUUCAUUGGCGAUUUUACUCUAACAGCUUGUUCGCGCCAUCUGAUCGCAUACUUUCUGAAACUCUCAGUAUUCUUCUUUUUUAUACUAGUUAGGGAUUUUUCGUCAGAGAUCAACUCCACAUUGUAUUGAAAUUGUUGCACAAAUUCAUUAGCUAGGUUAUCCCAACUAAUCUACUUGUCAAUGUCUUGGUCAACAAACCAUUUCGAAGCUAGGUCUAAAAGACUCCCCCAGAAAUAAUCCUUGAGUAGUUCUUCCUUCCCUCUAGCGCCCCUCAAUUGGUUACAAUAGCGACUCAAAUGUGCCACUGGGUCCCCAUGUCCAUCAUAGUUCUCAAACUUUGGCAUUUUAAAGUCAGGUGGAAAGUUGACACCUGGAAACAUGCAUAAGUCCUUAUAUGAGACACUUUUGUAACCCUCAAGUCCUUGCAAGUUCUUCAUAGCCAGUUCCAAACUUCUCAAUUUUUUGGUCAUUUCCUCUUGUCCUUCUUUCAUAACAAGCUUCUCAGUGUUAGGAGGAAAUUCAAGUGGGUGAGUGUCACUGUAAAGACCAGUCAACUUGAAUGUAGGCUCGAAAGUGUACCGCUGAUCACCAGUAAUAUUCAAUCCAGGCUUUCUUGUAGAGUAGGGAGGCACAACUUGUGGACGAACAUCAAAAGUAGGAGCUUCAGGUGGGGGUGGCACCGCAAAAGCAUGAACAACAGGUGAAGCCGAGUAUGUGGUAGUCUUGGAUUGGGGAGUGAGGAAAUAAACAUUAGAAGUGGUUGGGUAUUGUUGCCCCAAAGUCGAUCCUGAUGCAUGUUGUGGCAUAUCAACAAAAAUGGGAAAUUGUGCAUAUGACACGAGAGGCAAGAUGGAAAGAUAUUCCAGAUUAUCAGUGGGAACUGGAGGAGGAGGUAACCCAUUAGCCCAAGCUCGAUGCAUUCCUAUCAUUUGCUGCCUCAAUUUCCGAAUCACUUCAUUAGCUCCUACAUUCUCACUUCUCAAACUCCCUAUCUGAUAGUGACAACAAACUCGGUAUCCUUGUUAGCCAUAACCUUCUCUAUGACUUGGUGCAAUAUGGAGGACCAGCUAAAAUGCCACAACCCAACCACCUCAAACUAACUGAACAAGAGAUAACAAAUGCGUUAGAGUCUAACACUUUCUCAAAAUCUCCCCUUUUUUUCUUUUUGAAAAGGUCACCGAACCCAAGAAGGCUACCUACGUAUAUCACCCCCUGAGAGAGGAGAAUCAGGUGUGCGUAGUUCAUGAAAUCUUGCCAAAAUGGUCAAAUAAACUCUUUUUCUUUUUCUUGAAACUUUAAAAAUAAAAGGAAAUAACAAAUUGUCAAAAGAAUUGACGAAAAUCUUUUUUGCAUUUUUCGGCUUUAAUAACCUAUACAAAAUGAAACCUAUGAUUACCAAAGAAAAGUCAUUUUGGAUUUUCGAUUUUGAAUUUCAUAUGAAAAUAAAACUUGAAACUAUUAAAGGAAAAUGUUUUUGUAGUUUUCUUUUUAGAGAUGUAUAUAAAACACUUACUUUAAAUAAAGAGUGAAGAAAAUCUUUUAGAAUUUUUCAAAUAAGAUCCCCGAACCAAAAAUAGGUUGCCUACAUAUCUCACAUCCCGAAAGAGGAGAAUCAGGGGUGCGUAGUUCAUCCAGAUUGGAAAAUUAAUGAUUAAAUAAUCGACUAAACCCGGACUUGAGAUACCAGACCACAAACAGAAGAUGAAAAACAUCAAUAAAAUCUUUUUAAGUUUUCAAUUUGACACUUAACCUAAAAAUGACACCAAUAAAUAUGCAAGGAAAAUCUUUUUUGAUAUUUUCGUUAUACGAAAUGUAUAAAACUUCUACCAGUUUUUAAAUUUUUCUUUUAUAAAAGGCUCCUAUUGAAAAAUAAUCUUUUUGAAAUUUUUGAAUUAUGAAUGCAUGCUAAAGGAGACAAAGCAAAAAACUUUCUGAUGUUUUUGAUUUUUGAGAAAUGAGUGCAAAAGGAAAAAAAAUCUUUCUGAAUUUUGAAUUUUGAAAAACAAAAGCCAUAAAGAACUCUGAAAACUAGAAACUCUCUUUUUUUUUCUUUUUGACUCACUAUUCUUUUUUUUUUUUUUUUUUUUACUUCUAACACAUGUUUUCCCCAAAUUAGUCCAUCAAAUGACCAUAUUACCCUCAAAGAUGCAACAAUUAACACGUAGGGAUGCUUUAGAGGCAAGUCUCCUACAAAAGGCCAAGUGGGCCCCUCUAGGUCUUCAAUAUGAUGCAUAUAAACAUGACCUACAAGGUGACCUACGUUGGGGUUCACUAACAAGGCUGUUCGGAGGAGCGUAUAGUCGAUAGUGGCUGCUUUGCUUUCCACCUACUCCAUAACAUCGAUGGCUCCUCCCCUAAAAUAAGGGUGACUCAACUAGAGGUCGUGUACAACACGUGUACUAUGGACUUGUUGCAGAAAGAAUGACUCGGGCUAUGCACAUGAUGCUAGAUAUAAAGCAGCAACACAUAAGAUAAAAUUAUAAACAAAGAGCAUGUAGGCACUCAAAAAAAUAACAAAAAGCAACGCAAAUAUAUGUCUAUACACGUAUAGUGACAAACUAAGCCGAUACAACUCCAAAUUAAGCUUGAAUUCUGAAAAUAGAUCUCCAACGGAGUCGCCAGAGCUGUCACACCCCUUUUUAACUCCAAAAAGAUAUUAUUUUAAAAGUUUGAAAGGGUUUUCGUUAUAAGUGACAAAAGAUAAAAAUUUGCUUCGAAAAGGACCUUUUAUAUUCAAAACUCAGAGUCGCCACUUGGCAUAAUCCGGUGUGCCAAGUCACCUUUGAAAAAUCCUUUUCAAAACGAUUUGACUCAAACUGGUUUGCGAACAGAGAUUUCAGCUAAGGAAUUCUGUUGACCGACGGAAAGGUGUUAGGCACCCCUCGAUCCUGUGGUUUGAACACGGUCGCUUGUUGGAGCGUAUCGGCUAAUUUGACACCACGAAUGUAUAAACCACACAAAAGCACGCAAAACAAUCAAUCAAGCAAAAAAAAUAAAAACAAUCCAAAAUUUGGUGUCCAGUCCAAUUUAUUACAAAUUGAAAUAGAAAAUACUGAAUAAACCUACACUAACCUAUACUAGUCCUAAAUUAAACUCUACCCGAUGCCUUGGGCCUUCAUCACAGACAUCCUCCGUGUACAAAAUACCUCAGGGCAUUCCCCAACGAAUAAACACAAAUACCUCGGGGCAUUCCCCAGCCAAAUGAAUACAUUUUCAAUGCAAGAAGACCACAAUCAUUCAAUAAUAUUUCAAACAUUCCACAAUUUAUAAUCCCUAAAUUUGCCUAUCACCCCUAUUGUUUGCCUAUCGAUUUGACGACCUAAUCUUGAUACUAUUAAGUUCGAUGACAUCAAUGAAUUAAAAUUAGUCCGUAUUCAUUUUUUUACUUUUCAAAUCCCGUCUCACUUUCAUUCUUGAUCAAUUAACCAAUUCCAAUACAGAAUCAACCAAUCAAAACUACGAUAAUCAUAGACGUUCAAACAUACUAUCAAAAAUUAUAUCAUCAAUCAACAUGAACCACGCAACUCACAACAUCACCUCACCAAAUUAAGUAAAACAAAGAGGAGGAGUUGAAGAAUUGGACCUUAGAAGAAGCUUUCAAAAUUGAUGUAUUAUUCCAAUAAAAACCCGGUACAAUCCGCGUCGAGAACCUCGAUUCAUACCUCAAUCACGAACUUGCCAACUCGAUCAAAACCCCAAAACAAUGGAGAAAACCACAAAAAAAAAAAAUCCAAAUCUCAAUUUUCGAACCAAGCUUGAAACGAGUCACGCUAGGUUUGCUAUUUUUGGUGAAGUUCGAACUCGCUGAAGCUCCGAUGGAUCUCGGCAGUCAGCGAAACAAUGUUUUCCCAGUGAGAUUUUGCCAGAGAACUAGAAACGAAAGAGAAUUCGAAGAUUUUGAGGGUGCGGAUGGUCUAAUUCCGGUAAGGGAAUACCGAUUUCGGUGAGAAACUCGCCGGAAAAACCAAACCAGCCGUCCUUUUUCUCAUGUAUUCCCUCUCUCCGAUCGAUUCUCUCCCUUUCUCGAUUUGGAUUGUCUUCUCUCCGAUCUCACGCUCAGAUUUGUCUCUCACUGUGGUUGUGUGUAUGUAUAAUGGUUUUGUGUGAAGGCAGGUGUAUUAAUGGAAUAAACUCAUCAGUGAUGGUGUCUAUAUAUUCCUCUUUCCCGUAUUCUAUAUGUGUAUAUGUUGAAUUGGGAUCUUUUUCUUUAUGGUUACCGUGAUGUUCGUCAAUGGCGUAUAGGUGUGUUCGUGCUAUAUGGGUCUUCUCUAAAAAUGGAAAAAUAUGGUCAGAAUGUUACUGUGGGGACAUCUAUAUUGUUAUCUAUUGUAUUCUUAUGUAUUCGCCUCCCUAUUUCUAUGUGAAGUAUAUGUGUAUAUUGUGAAUUCCAG